RNAcentral lists this unclassified non-coding RNA (254 nucleotides) under Melitaea cinxia (Glanville fritillary). Its description in RNAcentral is "misc RNA ENSMCXG00005003017.1". The record is from RNAcentral. Lineage: Eukaryota; Metazoa; Arthropoda; Insecta; Lepidoptera; Nymphalidae.
UGUUCUGUUCUUAUUCUUUUCUAUUCUGUUCUAUUCUAUUCUGUUCUGUUCUGUUCUAUUCUGUUCUAUUCUUUUCUAUUCUGUUCUAUUCUGUUCUGUUCUUAUUCUUUUCUAUUCUGUUCUAUUCUAUUCUGUUCUGUUCUGUUCUAUUCUAUUCUGUUCUGUUCUGUUCUAUUCUAUUCUGUUCUAUUCUGUUCUAUUCUGUUCUAUUCUGGUCUAUUCUGUUCUUAUUCUGUUCUGUUCUAUUCUGAUCU